This 218-nucleotide ribosomal RNA is filed under the name Escherichia coli. RNAcentral describes it as "partial 23S ribosomal RNA". It matches the Rfam family "Bacterial large subunit ribosomal RNA", at positions 548 to 769 of the family's 2925-position model. The record is from RNAcentral. Lineage: Bacteria; Pseudomonadati; Pseudomonadota; Gammaproteobacteria; Enterobacterales; Enterobacteriaceae.
ACCUGAAACCGUGUACGUACAAGCAGUGGGAGCCUCUUAAUGGGGUGACUGCGUACCUUUUGUAUAAUGGGUCAGCGACUUAUAUUCUGUAGCAAGGUUAACCGAAUAGGGGAGCCGAAGGGAAACCGAGUCUUAACUGGGCGUUAAGUUGCAGGGUAUAGACCCGAAACCCGGUGAUCUAGCCAUGGGCAGGUUGAAGGUUGGGUAACACUAACUGG